This is a long non-coding RNA of Cervus elaphus (red deer), 188 nucleotides long. RefSeq lists it as uncharacterized. NCBI's taxonomy places the organism in Eukaryota, Metazoa, Chordata, Mammalia, Artiodactyla, Cervidae. The transcript is spliced from 3 exons. The record is from RefSeq and is a predicted model, not a curated record.
GCAAUUUGAUCUCUGGUUCCUCUGCCUUUUAUAAAUCCAGCUUGUACAUCUGAAAGUUCUUGGUUCACAUACUGCUGAAGCCUUAGCUUGAAGGAUUUUGAGCAUUACUUUGCUAGCAAGUGAAAUCAGUGCAAUUGUGCUGUAGUUUGAACAUUCUUUGGCAUUGCCCUUCUUUGGGAUUGAAAUGA